GUUCUGGAUUUUAACUGCUUUGCAUAACCUUUCUUAGAUAUUUAUAACUGUUACAGGUAGAGAAAGAAUUUUGGUUGGAACAGACUGACUUGAGUAGGACAAGUAGUAUUAGGCACAGGGAGAGUGUUUCCAAAGUGAGCUUCAAAGAAUAUGUGGCAAUUGAGCACUUUAAUCAGUUUCCCCUCAUUAUUCUCCCGGUUAAGCUAUGGGGUAAACAAAAAGAAGCCAUGCAGCAGUACCUAAGCAUUUUUAUAUGCAAGGUUCCAUAAGUGAUAAUCAGUAGAGGUUCCCGAUGCUUGCAUUAUCUGAUCAAUAUAUGUGAACCCUGUGAGAUUAUUUUGUUUUGAAGAUCACACAAUUUGUAUUGAAUUGCAAAACUAAUGUUGUAUACAGUACUUUCUGAUACUUAGAAUGUACAUGCAGUAUCAUAACUUGAAUAAUGCCCCCUCUGCCCCACCCACUUUAAUUUGCCAGUCUUCCUUGCAUGAACAAAAUGGUAGAGACAGGCAUUUUCAGUAUGGGUGGAGCCAAGGUGCCUUUUGGAUUUCUAGCAAAGUAGAUAUUGUAGGUUCCAUUUUUUUUUCAAAAUCUUGGGACAUGCCUGGAACUAAAAUAUGCCUAAUUUGGUUUACUGUAUUAGAUGAUUCUGCAAACCUCUUUUACUUGGAACUGAGUUCUCCAUUCUUCCUAGUAAUUUAAUUAGGAUUAUGUUCUUAGAUACAUAAAUCACAUCUGUGCAUGGUUUGUUUUGUCUUGCGGGGCUGGGGUUCUUGACCAGGGUUUCUUGAUUGGACUUGAUGUUUCUUUGAAUUUUUGACAACUUCCUUGUUUUUUUAGUGGCGCUGCACAGUAUGCUGCCCAUUAUUUUCUGAGUGUUGAGGUUCCCCAGAUCACUUUUCCUGAAUUAGCAAAACUAAAUGUUGCAAGAAUUAUUAAGCAGUUACUAAGCUUUGGGGAAAAAAUUACUGGUAACCAAAGGUUAAAAUACAUUAAUGGUCUUGUUUUUGUAGAAGCUUAUCCAGGAUUCUGCCAUGAGAAUAUUGGUGAAAGAAGAAAAGCUUUCCAUUGACACGCUUCUUCCCCUGCCAUAUUGCAGGUGCAGCAAGAAUGUAGGGCAGGCAUAGGCAAACUCAGCCUCCAGAUGUUUUGAGGCUACAAUUCCCAUCAUCCCUGACCACUGGUCCUGUGAGCUAGGGAUAUUGGGAGUUGUAGUCCCAAAACAUCUGGGGGGCUGAGUUUGCCCUAUGCCUGAGGUAGGGAAUGCUAUAGGCACACACAGUAUUUGUGACAGGCUACAACCAGAUACAACAGCUUUCAUUUGAGUAAACAGAAUGCUGUACUAGUACUCACCCCAGCAAUAAUUGGACCUACUUCCCAAGCAGUUAAUACUGCCAUUGUAAACCCAUGGGGAUUGGAUACAAAGCUGCUCUUGUCCUUGCAGAAGGUUCAUCUGCUCAUACAUGAGGCCCAUCCUUUUUGCCAUUGAUUCUAGUCUCCUUUUUGUCACAUCCCAUGCCAUCCAAGUCUCUCCAGACCCUCGGGAGCAGCGUGGGAGGGGAGGACGGAGGUUGCAGAAAAUAGGAUUGGUGGGAAAGUCCUCUUGUGUGUAAACCGACUUCCACUUGUGCAUCUUUCAAUCCAAGUGGUAAUACUGAAAAAGUACUGAAAUGCACUUGGAGAAUGUUCAUACUGAUUACAGUUAAACUUCUAAAUCUGCAAUGUUUGCUGAACUGGGUCAACCUUCUGUAACAACCAAGACCUGGUAUACUAAACACUUUAUUCUUGCAAUGCAAACGAGUGUGUGUUACUCACAGCAUAAAGUCCUCCAUUUUUAAAAGUGGCCUGAGAGAUCUGCUUUUAGUGUUAAGAUGUCAUUCUUUGAUUUUGUUGUUGCUGUUGUUGUUGUUGUUGUACAUUGUUGUUCUCCUUAGACAUUCAGGAAACUUCUUUUGGGGGGGUGCUCUAUGAACUGUAAUUGAAAAAUACAUUGUCAAGCAAUAUGUUUAAUUGAAAACACAAGCAGUCUUUUCUUCUUAACAUAUUCUUCUCCCAUAAUUAUGGGUUUGUGAUGGCAUGGGAAAUAGUCUGUUUGCAAUUAGAAUAGUUUAACUCUGUAACUUUCAUGCCUUUCAUGUCUUCUCUUCUCAUGAGGUGACCAAAGUAUUGGAGCCUCGGCUUCAGGAUCUGUCCUUCCAGUGAGCACUCAGGGCUGAUUUUCUUAGGAAUGGAGAGGUUGGAUCUUCUUGCAGUCCAUGGGACUCUCAAGUGUCUCCUCCAGCACCAUAAUUCAAAAGCAUCAAUUUGGGUAGAUGAGACUAAAAAGCCCGGGACACAAACUUUCAUGGCCCUCUAACAGCUAUGGCAGUUUACAGUGGUGCCUCGCAAGACGAAAUUAAUUCGUUCCGCGAAUUUUUUCGUCUAGCGAAUUUUUCGUCUUGCGAAGCACGAAAUCCCAUAGGAAUGCAUUGAAAAUCAAUUAAUGCGUUCCUAUGGUCAAAAAAAGUCCAAACAAAGCCAAAUUUGGUACAACAAGAGUUUAUUAAGUGCUCUUUAAAGUCACACAUACUGUAAAGAGCAUUUCAAAAUUCAAACCCAGAAUUUUUUUUAAAAAACAGCAGAGUUGCCCAAUGGUCACAGAAAAUCAUAAAAAUGCAGCAAAAAAACCAAGCUUCCAGAUUCUUGCAAACCCCUCCCCAACACCAAGUCCUUGAAUUCCAAACACCCCAACCCAAAAUCCAAAGCCCCCCAAAAAGUUUUAAAAGCUUAACUUACCAAAUGGCUGCAAAAGAAGUUUUGGAAAAGCUUCAAAAAUCACCAAAGUCUUUAAAAACCUCAAAAAGGGCUACUAUGUACACUGCGUUCUAUGAGUUGCUCCUCGAAGUCAAGUCGCAACUGUAUUAACAGUGUUAAGAAAAAGGAAACAAACUUGCAAGACGUUUUCGUCUUGCGAAGCAAGCCCAUAGGGAAAUUCAUCUUGCGAAGCAGCUCAAAAAACGGAAAACCCUUUCGUCUAGUGAGUUUUCCGUCUUGCGAGGCAUUCGUCUUGCGGGGCACCACUGUAUUUAGCGUUAACUCUAGAAGUAUAUACUGUACUCGAUUAUGACCAAAUUAAGCCUCCUGAUCUAUAUUGUGCUCUAGGAUGCUUAGUUUGGUCCAAACACUUUCAGAGUUAAUGCUAAAUACAUUUCUUCUGGUAAAUGAGCCGCCUAAAGAUUUGUGUCCCAGGCUUUUUAUCUGAAAUCAAAGGGGCACAUUUGUUGCCAGAUAUGAAAUACAUUGGUAUUUUGGAUAGGGGUUAGGAGAGCUGAAAAUAAUGCCAAUUUCUCACCCUGAAUCUAUUAGCAAAUUCCACUUUAGAUUUUGGUAUCAGGAGUUAUUUAUACUGGAAACAGCAGAGGAAUAAUUACUAAUCUCUUGUAUAAUUUAGCCCUUGGUACCCACUACCUAAUCUACAAAAUAGUUAGGUCUGAAGCCCUUGAAGAUGCCAGAUUUGAUCCUUUAAUACUAAGUGAAGCUGCACAGAGUUAAUAGUACUGUACUUGCUUUGAUUUACCGUAAGUAGUUCAUGGAUUGAACUGUCAUUUACUUAUUUCUGAGCCAUCAUAAUUCUCCUUAUAGGCUACCUUGAAGUAUAAGAGGACUCCCAUGCAAGAUGUUUCGUUUUUAUAUUAUAAAAACCUUCAUAUUAUACAUUGUAGGUUCUGUGUUUUUUCUGUAAGUAAACCAGGUAUAUAUUUAUUUAUUAUUUGCAAAAGUUUCUAUACCACCAACAUCAAAUAAAAACAUGGCAGUGAACAUCAUAAAAUCGACAAUAAAAUUGCAUCCAUAAAACGAAUACAAAAUAUAUCAAAAAUCAGUAGAUCAGGUUCAUAUACCAACAUAUCUGAAACCCUCCUCAAAGCCUGAGUGAGCAGCUGAGUUUUGAGCAGGAGACUAAAUGUCAGUACUGUAGCUGUAAAGAAUAAAUCUUGUCCCUGAGCUGGAAGCCUAACACAGGUGCUUUGCUUCUGCUGUGUUCAAAAAUCCUUUUUGUGCUCUGCAUAGACAUUUCAUUUUUUAAACUGUCUCUGUAGUUGGCCAGUGAACGCAUUUACAAGAUACUCAGAUUCAGACCGUUUCUCAAGUACUGAGACAAGAUUGUGUCCAUGCUAAUGGACACCUUUGUACCUGCCUGUUCUUUAGCUCCCCUAUUAUUUAAAGCAAGUUAUUUUGAGGGACUUGGAGGCAGCUAUUAUGACACAGCUAGAGGGAAAGAAAAAGUACACACGCCUCAGAAAAUUAGUGAGUGUCAGUGGACUGGCUGGCAUAUCAAGGUAAUUGUGAAUGAGAAGCAUUCUAUUUCAUUCUGCCCUGCUUGGAGUAAUAAACCAGUAGCCUUGGCUUAACAAUGUGUGAACCACUGCUUGUUCUUGGGGGAAGAUAAGCCUUUAUUGCUGGUUUGCAUGCCAUUAAGCCAAGGCUCGUGUUUUGUUGCUGCUACCUCCAGGCAGAGAAGGACAAAACAAGCAAGUCAGGAAUGCAUGUUUGCACUCUGCUCAAUCACAGCCAUCUUACCAUAGGUGAAACAGCAGGUGAAACAGUUGUCUUUCUAACUUUUAUAAUGAUAGCUCUGUAGAUCCCAAUCUAUGUCAGUUUUGCAAAGACAGCCCACUUUAUAAAGCAGACAUUAUAAGACGACCUUGAGGAUCUCUCCUAAGUGUUCUGUGCCCUCGAUGCUUCUUCCUCUACUUUAAAAAAAAAAAAUGCUGCCUUUCCCCCUUCUCUGCUGCAAAAAAUUAUGGGAUGGCAACAGCAGCAAAUGUUUCAUGGUUUUAACAGGUAGUUAGGACUCACUGAGCCACAAUCCACAGGAUGAGUUCAUAAGCAAAAGCAAGCUGCCUCUUCUUGGAAUAAGAUUCAUUUAGAGCAGAUUAGAAUAUUUCUUCUAAUUUGGAAAGAGACGGGGGGAACAAUGUAGUUGAGGUGCAGCUGAUUAUUCAUACAUAACUAUGCCUCAGCCAUAUUUGAGGGAGUUUUUGCAGAGGUGGCGUAUGUUAGGUGGGGCAAGAAAGUUCAAUUAACAGCAAUCUUUUGUGCGAGUUCAGUUAGCGCUGAUGCAAUCCAUUGACAGGUCAACCUCAUUCCCCUCAGUAAGGCUUGUGAGGAUUUUUAGGCAAGCACUACUGAACAAAUGAAAGUUGUCCUAUUGAAGUGCCUAGCAUAUUGGGCCCCAUAGAUUUAAAGAGCAUGUGAAUCAUCUAGUUAUACUGCAACUACAAAUUUAAUAAAUAAAAACAAACUUUUUAAAAAAUUGAAAGGCAGCAGUAUGUUCAAAGGUCAAUUGCCAGUUUAGGUUUUUUAUUAAAAAAAAAAUCUUGGAAAAAUGUAUACCUUAUGUUAAGGAUUAUUUCAAAGUUUCAGGUGGUCUUGAAAAAUAAUUUGGGAAAGCAUCUUGGAAUGUGUAUUUUGUCCCUCACUUUAUUUUCACUCUGCACUAAAGUCUAUUGGUUUGGCAACUACUGUGUUUGCAAAUUACUGUGUGGGACCAUUUGUGUGCGUAGAUGUGUGUAUUGUCCAGCUUCAUAACUCAAACUUGGGUGUAAUAUUUUACCAUUGUAUGUUUGCACAGAGUACCACAGGCAGUUGGGAUUUCAGUGUCAUAAUGACAAAAAGCAUUUUUGCCUGCAUAUUUCUCUUUCCCUUCCAUCCCCCCCCCACCUCCCAUUACGGCCCAGUGCAGUCAUAACAAUUAAUUGUGAUUAGCAGCAGCCUUUGUUUGUUGCCUGAACUUUAGUUACAAUCCCACAUAAAGUGAAACCCUGGUUUCAGCUUGCUAAAGUAAGCUCUGCUACUAAAGAAUGUAUGCAAGAAAAGACAAGCAAGCUGCCUGAUAGGAGCUUGGAAAAGGGAGAAACAGCCUUAAUCAUGUAUAGAGAUUAACACCAGGGAUUUUCAAAUAAUGGUUUAGGUAUUCCAGAUGCAACUUUGUUUAAAUACUAUGUCUGCACGGGGCCUGUGUGAGAGGACAAUCACGUUUUCACAGGGUCAACAUUUCAAGGGAAAUCCCAUGUAUUGUUUUUCCCUGGAGUGCGAAGAUAAACAGAAGCAUUCCUCCACUAAACUGUGAAAUAACAUUGGAAAUGUCCUAAGGACCAAACAAUGUUUCCAAACCAGUUGCUGACCUUGGAUGUUCUUCUGAUAGUAACCACUGUUUUUUCCCCUGACGUUUUAUAAGUUGAUGUCAAAAACCUCCAAGCUUAACUUGGAAGUAAGCUCUAUUGGCAUCAAUAAGUUAUUUUUAAAUAAAUGUGCUUAGGGCAGAACUGCCAGACAUGUCUUUUGCUAGCUUUAAAAAUCUGAAGGAACUUCAGUGUUGGCUCUUGAAGGGCUAAGAUGAGAGCUUUGAUGUUUGUGAAUCAUGCUUUUAAAAAAAUGAAUGCAAAGAAAAUUCAACUAAAUUUACGGUGGCAUCUUAAAGAUCCUAUUUUAUUUAACUGUAGAUUUAAUGGUUAGGUUUUAAAAAAGAUCGGAUUUGUAAUGUACCUAAUGUAAUAUCAAACUUAUAUCAAAAUAAAAU
Non-coding RNA from Podarcis lilfordi (Lilford's wall lizard), 6556 nucleotides. The record is from the annotation of a GenBank genome assembly. Lineage: Eukaryota; Metazoa; Chordata; Lepidosauria; Squamata; Lacertidae.